RNAcentral lists this non-coding RNA (45 nucleotides) under Schistosoma mattheei. Lineage: Eukaryota; Metazoa; Platyhelminthes; Trematoda; Strigeidida; Schistosomatidae. The record is from RNAcentral.
AUCCGGCUGACGAGUCCCAAAUAGGACGAAAAGCGCAUCCUGGAU